CAAAACUAAUUCUUCUCCAAACCUCCUUAUAUUUUAUAAACCCUUGUCUCAUUUCUUUCACAUAAAGUAAAUGCCAACUAAUGGCCAGCCAAGCAAAUUACACCUGUCGAUAGUACAUCCCACAAGAGACACAAGUGGAGGCAUGCAUGCAAGACUAACCACGCAUGCAUGCCAGAUGUAAUGUGUCUUCAAACCUGACAUAGCUAUUCACCCCACUAUAAAUAGGAGCCAUCCCUUUCACUGGACCAUUCUACCUCACACACACAUACGCCUGAGUACCGCCACCACUUGCCUUUUCACCUUCUGCCACACUGCCGUCCUUCACUGCGGUGAAGAUCUUUGGGUUACAUGCGCCACCAGGUACUAAUCAAGUAUCUUGUUGUGUUAGCCCUUCUUGCUUGAUUUCUUAUCUAUCUCCACCUCGGUUUGAAUCAGUCCAUGAGCAUCUAUUCACCUUGAUCUCUUUACCUUACUGUAAAAAGAACAAAAUGUUUGCAUAAACACCCAAGUUAGUCAAAACUAAUUAGAUCAAUUGCAAAAGCUUGUAAAAGUUUAUGUGAAUGACAUCUGUGGCUUGUACUAGAUAUAACAUGCCAAGAAUCAAAUCCUAGGUACUAGUAACUUGCUAAGACAUGCAUGUAUGUAUCCAAAAGAUCAACCUUCCUGUGUAUACUACCUGUCCCAAUUAUUAAUCCCUGCCAAUCUGUAGCAAACACUGAGAGAUUGAUGUUUAUAAUCUACUCACAAGUAAUUAUUUUUGGAGUUUCACUGCCACUGUUUACUUCUAUAUGGUGUUCAAGGAUGAGUAACACUAGUUAGGAACAACAUUUAGAUCUAAUCAGUAGCAAUACCAUGACCACACCAUAGAUUAAAUCUUGAUUAAUUUCUUGGCCUUGAGAUAAACAAAGAGAAAGAAAGCAAUAUGGCUGAGUGGGGAAUAGUAGGGCCUGGGAUAAAAUGAACAAUAUAUGCACACCCACGUUCACUGAUAGCAGGCACUUGUUGUGAAAUUUGGAGCACUUCAUGGAGAAGGAAUCAGGAUUAGUACUUACCAGUAGUAGCAGUAGGAUGUGGCUAGUCCACACCGUUAGCAGCAGAGCCAUGGCGACCGAGCUGCGCCGGUGAAGCCGCACGCGCCCGACACCCGUGGCUGCACGCCUCGUGCGUGUGGCUGCGCUGGGGGAGGAUGUAGGCAUGGAGACGUUGUUGCCGCUACAGCCGGUGGCAAGCCCACCGGACCUGGAUCAGGCGGCGCUAGGAUUGAGUGGUGGUGACGUUUUUGGCGGCGGCAGAUCAAAUAAAUAGGGGGAUAUGGUAGAGGGAGACGAGGAAAAUAUGUAGGUAUCUGCCGUGUCGCCGGAGAUGCCCGGACGGGGCAGAUCGAGGCGACGACGGCCGUGCUCUGUUCUUGGGGGAGAGAGAGAGGUGAGUGGGCUGGUUCUGUUCGUGGGACAACGAGAAGUUAAGUAGUCUCUCUGGAUAGACACGGGCCUUAACCAGCGAAGUACUAAUAGUACAGUACUGGGCUACUGUUCUUUUUACUUAUCAUUUCAUUUACCACUCUCUGGACUGGAUGACAUACGUGCAUGCUACUCUGUUUUGGAUGGCUUAAUGCAUUUUAUCUCUCAAUGGAAAACUAGGACGUAUCACCACUUAGUUACUUACAUGUGGCCUGCUCAACAUGGCCGUGUUGCUGGAUGUUAGAUUUUUAAUUAGGAAAAUAAAUAAUAAUAUAAACAUGUUCCUGAAAUAAUUAUCAGGAGUCGAUCUCGGACCCGUAGGAGCCACGUCUGGUGGUUCCGAGUUGAUCGAAGCACUAUCCGGCAAGUCGUCAUCUCCUUGACCAUGUCUUGAUAAAUGUUUUCCGGGCUAUGGGUCAUUUCUAAAAUUUUGCAUAAGAAUUAAAAAUAAAUAUUUUUCAUAAAUGAAGUAAGAUUUGGAUCAGGUGGCUCAAUACUUUCAAAGUGGAGCCGAAGAUGAUCAAGCGACGGCACACAGAGUGCGGAGGCGCUGUUAUAAGCAAAAAUGCUGAUGCUCCAUGGCCCGAGGGCUGUUUUCAAGAGGAGCUAGGCUUGUAGCAACGAGAGUGGUUUUAUAUCACUGCUCCCCGAAGCACCAAGUGGGUGGCGCUUCCUGCCUUUCGCUCGGGUCCCCCACCACGGCUAGCGUCAUGGGUUAACAGAGGGUUAGAUUGUGGUUUGCCAAAAGACGUGCCCUUGUUACAGGGCCGCAUUAAGGAUCUCUUGGAAGGAGACCUCAGCCUGGUUAAGGUGACACAGAUCAUGCUGAUUCGCCGAAUAUUGCCUGGCAAACAUCGCUCCCUUCGCUUGUGGGAGUUUAAUCCAGAGGGACCGCGAGCUCUCCAAAAUUUCAUGGGCGCAACGCCCGCGGAGAUGUAUAAACUGUUCUUCGGAUCACAAGAGAUGUGUCCAGAUUUAACCGAGGACGUAGGCCUAAGCUGCAAUCGCCCGGAUACUCAAGUAAGCAACCUUGUGCCCGGACCUUCUAUCUGUAUAAUUGUCAUAAACUUGCCCCUAAAAGAGCCGUCCUUUUAAACAGGAGUGGAUAGCGAAGGCAAAGCUGAUCAGGUGUCCGGCUUCCCUUCCCGAAACCAGGCCGGAUCCCGUGCUGGUCAGGAUGCUGGAGAUAAUGCCUUUGGAGGGAAGCAAGGGGGAGGACAAGGAAACUAUGGCCUCCUCGAAGGAGGCUGCUCUGAAGGGAGGAACCGACAAUUCCUCUCCUAAGGGGAAGAAGAGAGCCGCCUCUGACGACCCGAAAACCAUGGCUUCGAAGCGGGGGAAAAAAUCCUCGUCAGAGGGUCCGAUGCCUGGGAGUUCCUCGGCCGGACUACGCCCUCAAGGGGAUCAGCCCUCCAGCGAGCCGUAAGUAGAGAAAGAUUGUCCUUUUGAGGGAUGAGGGAAAUCCUUGAUUUAUAUCUGAGAAGAUUAACCGAAUUUUUACCUUGUAGCUUGGACCUCAGCCCUUCUCAGCAGAGCUCGUCUUCGAGGGAUCUCCUUCCGGAGAUUAUGGAGAGCGGGACGCCUCCCCCUUCCGUGCCGCCUAGCGAGGCGGGCGACCCUGAGGUGUCGUCGCGGAGGGUUUCUCCGAAUCCGGCAGGGGCGGAAGAUAGCUAUGUGGCCCCCCGAGGUUCUCCGCGUCCGGCCUUCGAAAGAGGUCGUGGGACAAGUCCGGCACCGUCUGGUGCUCGGCCGGAGGAGCUGAAGAUUCUGCUGGGGCAAGCUUCUAUCUCGGAGGAGCACCGUGCAUUGAUGGGCACGGUGAUUGAAAAGAUCUCAUCCGCAGAGAGCGGAUUGCAUGAGGCCGUCAAAAGUUUACUGACGGGUUUUGAGGUACAUUAGAUAAUGUACACUUUUGUCAGUUGCGCAUGAAUAAGAUGCGCCCUGUGUAGAUAGUAGCCCCUGAGACUCUGCGCGUCGUCAAGAAAUGACGGCACACAGAGGAUCAUAAUCCCAGGUCUAAGAUGUCGCCUUUGGAUGUAGGCGGCAGGGUGUCCGGAAUCGAGCCGAACUGAAAAUUUUGCCGAACUAAAGCGGCAACUGGACGUGGCAGAUGCCGACAUCACGCUUGUUAAUAAGCGGCUUGAUGAGGUUCAAGGUAUGUAAUUCCUCGGGCGGCAUCAGGUAAGAACAGUUUUAUGCCUGUGUCUUACGAUGUGUGUGCUUGACGCAGAUGGUGCGGCCGCCGUGGAGAGUCUUAGGGCAGAACUUGCCCGAGCUAAAGAACAAGCCAGAGAAAGUGAUGCGGCUGCCAAGAAAGCCCCUGAAGAGCUGAGAGCCGAACAGGUUGCUCAUUGCCGAAGCAAGGAAGAGAUGGCUGAAAAGGUAAAGAGUGCUGCAGACCGUUGCGGACUUCUUGAGAAAGAAGACCAGGCGAAAUAGACGGACUUAGAGAAGGCCAUUGCCAAUGCCAAGGACGCGCGCUCUGCGAUGAGAGCUGCGAAGGAGGAGCUGCGUCAGGCCGAACAGAUUGCGGCUGGAAAGCCCUUUAUGCUGCGAAGUAAAUUUUGCGAUCCGAAGUUUGCUCCGUUGGACCAGAUGUGGAGUGUGGAGGAUACCUAUCUGGAUUUGGCAGCGAGUGCUGCUGAUGUGACCGAACACUUUCGAGAUCAGAAAGAUUGCGAAGUGGAAAAGCUUUUCUGGUCGCAGUAUCACAAUCCAGAGCGUCCACUGGCAGUGGACGGUCGUUUGGCUCAAUGGGCCGAACUGAAUAGGUUGUCCGGACUCGCCAUGAAGUACGUCAUGGGUCAUCUGUGGCCGGGGAGAUCGGAGCCGAAGAGUUAUUUCAGCUUGGUGCAACAAUUCCUUGACGCGGUGCCACGUAUUAAUGCAAUGAAGAGGUCAGCGUGCAUAGAGGGCGCAAGGAUGGCUCUUGCCCAUGUCAAGACAUACUGGGCAGAGAUGGAGACCACCGUUGUUGCGUCCCGAGAUUUGGACAAAAGCCGAGUACCCUCCGAGCACUAUUUUCAGGAAGUCCUUGAAGGCGCUCGUGUAAUAGAGACGCAGUGCUCAAAAGAUGCUAUGUUAGGAUAGCGUAUGUAAUUAUAAAGUAAUAUUUUGAUAAAUUGUAGCGGCCUUUUUAUACUUGUGCCUUCAAGUAUUGGGAACACCUCCUGUGCGGCCGUUUUAAGAUAUAUACAAAAUCUGAAAGAUGGCAGUCGUUGGCUUCAGCCCCCACGCACAUAGUGCGGGGGUGCUCGCAGAAGACGCAUUUUCACACUUAACCCAACGUCUUGGUCCUACAAAGGAGGUGAUAGCGCAGCGGGCCAGGCAACCAGACUAUAAUGCUUUAACACUUUCACUUAGCCAUAGGAGCUUGACAGUGAGACUAUUUAGGUAGCCCCUUGGUGGCGACUGCGCUCGCCCAAGUUCGGGGCGCGUAUGUGCCUGACCGGGAAGCGGCCCUUCGUUAAAGCGGAGGAAUCCGAUAGAUUCCGAUAGGUCAUCAAGUGGCUGACCAGUCUCACGCUACAUCAUGACAGUCAGUUUUCGGCUUUCUCUACUGAGGUGCUCGCCCGGCCGAAUCGGGGCACAAUCGCAGUAGUUCUCCUGGUGCUACCUUAGCCAAUAGAGCGAAACGUAAGGUAGCCAAACUCAGGAGCCGGGCAACCCAACAUUUGACCAAAGACAUGAUUUGGAGCUGAUGCAUAUAAUGCCAAAACUCGCGACGCCGAACACUCCCUAAGGUGUUCGGUCUUUAUGAGUGCGGGCGAAACAACACUCUUUAUUAUUAAAAAAGCCCCUAGUGUCCAGGUACAUGCAAAAAUUCUGACGUGGCCACAUGCCAAGACGCCAGCCUCCUCCUUGGUUAUAUCAGAAAGAAAAAACCAGGGGAUGUGUAGCAACAAGAGACAGUAAAAAAGGUUUACGCAGGGUCUUAAUCUAAAAAGAAUCCUUUAGGACGGGUCCCUACUGCACGUCUGCGCUUGUGUCUCCGUUGUUCCGUAUCCUGGACGGGCGCCGCACGACGUUCAUCUGUAAAAGAGAGGAACUGAGUUGAAAACGGGUCGUGCCGAACAAAAGUUUAAAAGAAACAAAGUAUAAAGUAAAAUAUAUAAGAUUGAGCUUUAUUGUCUCUUAUUGUAUAUGCGUGGAGCCCCUAGUGCGGGGGUAUAUGGCUUCUAGGCCUGCAUCAAUGAUGAUUUUGCGCCGAACUCGUCUAUCCGCGUCCGUGGUCUUGAAUGACCUAUUUCUAAGUUUUUUGGCCGUUGAGGCCAUUUUGCUGUGGGGCUGUCAAAGCGGCCGCACAGUCCUCCGCUUGGGGAGGUGCACUUUAGUGCUUCCCCUUCAAAGAGAUGAUGUCUCGUGGACCGGGCAUCUUAAGCGUAAGAGAUGCAUAAUGCGGUAUUGCGUUAAAGCGAGCGAAAGCUUCGCGUCCCAGUAGUGCUUGAUAGCGACUUGAGAACGGGACGAUAUGGAAGGUCAGCUUUUCGCGGCGGAGGUUAUCGGCAGAGCCGAAUAUGACUUCGAGCCGGAGGAAACCCAUACAAUGGGUGUCCGGACCAGGUAUUACCCCUUGAAAGGAGGUUUUGCUGCGGCGGAUUCUUGCUGGGUUUAUCCCCAUGUGCUGAAUUGUAUCCUGAUACAUCAGGUUUAGUCCACUGCCGCCAUCCAUAAGGACAUUUGAAAACUGGAGUCCGCCAAUUAUUGGAUCGAGUAUCAAGGCAGUCCAGCUUACAUUCUUGAUAUUUCUAGAAUAAUCUAGCUGAUCGAAGAUGAUCGGUUUUGACAACCAGUGGCAGGACCCUUUGGGGAUGGGCCGUGUGGUGCGUACCUUUACGGGCGCCGCACGUUUUGUUAUGUGAAGUGAGUUCACUGUUUUUACUUCUUGUAGGAAGUUCUUUUGUUUCCUGGUGCUCUGCUUUUGGGGUUCGUCCUCGUCUUCGCUUGGUGUGUCGAGCCCCUUAUGUUCGGCAUUGAGUCUGCCGGAUUGUUUGAAAACCCAACAUUCUCUGUGGGUAUGGUUAGCAGGCUUCCCGGGAGUACUGUGUAUCUGACAUAUCCUGUCUAGGAUUUUAUUUAGGUUGGAUGGAUCGUCCCUGUUAUCCUGGGGGGGCGAUUUUUCCUGAUUUUGUCGUGAGCCUUUGAAUCCGGCAUUGACUGCCGUGCUCUUCGGACUUUUGUCCUUAGUCCAGCGACGGUCCUUGUUGCGUCGCGGUUUUCCGUUUCCAUCCCUAGUUUCGGAUGUACUUGGGUCGCUGGGGCUGCACCUUGCCAACCAGCUGUCCUCCCCUGCACAAAAGCGGGUCAUGAGGCUUGUUAGUGCGGCCAUUGUUCUUGGCUUUUCUUGGCCGAGGUGUCUUGCGAGCCAUUCAUCUCGGACGUUAUGCCUGAAAGCUGCUAAGGCUUCGGCGUCCGGACAGUUGACUAUCUGAUUCUUUUUAGUGAGGAAUCUAUUCCAGAACUGCCGAGCUGAUUCUCCGGGUUGUUGAGUUAUGUGACUAAGAUCGUCUGCAUCCGGAGGGCGGACAUAGGUCCCUUGAAAGUUUGCUCGAAAAGCAUCCUCGAGCUCUUCCCAGCUUCCAAUUGUGUUUUCGGGAAGGCUUUUAAGCCACUGUCUGGUUGGCCCUUUAAGCUUAAGGGGUAAAUAUUUUAUGGCGUGGAGAUCAUCUCCUCUAGCCAUGUGUAUGUGGAGGAUAUAAUCCUCGAUCCAAACUCCAGGGUCUGUUGUUCCAUCAUAUGCCUCUGUGUUUACGGGUUUGAAUCCCUCUGGGAAUUCAUAGUCCAGGACCUCAUCGGUGAAACAUAGGGGGUGUGCGGCGCCCCUGUAUUUGGGUGUGCCAGAUUCUGAUGAUGGCUUCAUAGCGUUGCUUAAGAGAGCUUGCUUUCUUGGCCCAUAAAUGGACCCGACUGGGCCAUGAUGCGAAUACUUAAGUGGGUCGCAUGCCGAUUUAUGUGCGGCGCCGCUUGCCGCUUUAUGGGGUCGUCUAUCCGACCGUGUGGCUUUCUCAUUUCUUGAAUGCGAGGGCUCUAGGGCCUCUUCGUCGAAUUCAGGCAGUGGCUUUCAUUUCGGAUAGCUUUUAGUGCGGCGACUGUCGCCAUAUUUAUCUGCGGUAUUGAUUACUUUGCUCCAUCUAAUCCGGAGUGCAUCUUCCGCUGUUUUAGCUUCCGCUUCUGCUUUUUUAGGCUGCGUGCAGUUGUAACGAGCCUCUCGUGGAGAUUCUUCUGCUCCAUAGGUUUAUCCGGCGUGAGGUCGUCUGGAAUGCCGUUUUCGCCGGAGGAGGGAUGUUCGGUUUCUCUAUCCGUGUUGCCCAGUUCGGACGGUUGCUCUAAGGCCUGCUCGUCGUCUACCGGCUCGUCCUGCUCUAUGGCUGGGUUUUUGUCGAGGCGGGGCUUGGGUCGGCGUUUACGCUGAUGCUUUGAUUGCUUUUCGGGGGGUCGAUCUCCCGUCCCAUCCCCUUUUUCAUCGUUGUCGCUUCCUUUAGGGGUAUCCACCAUGUACACAUCGUGAGAUGAGGUGGCUGUCCAAUGCCCUAUGGGCGUUGGUUCAUCGGUAUCUCCUGCAUCGUCAUCCAUGCUGUCGAUGUCUCCGGAGUCGAAGUUGAGCACGUCGUUUAAAUUUUUGAUAGUGGCUACCAAGUGGGUGGUGGGUGGGCUUUGAAUUUCUUCCUCGUCCGUAUCCCAUCCUCGCUGACCGUAGUUCAGCCAGGGCUCUCCUGAUAAAGAGAGAGACUUGAGAGAGUUCAGGAUAUCGUCAAAAGGCGAGUGCUGAAAGAUGUCUACGGCGGUGAACUCCAUUAUCGGCGCCCAAUCGGAUUCGAUCGGCAGGGGCGCGGGGGGUUCGGAGUCCGGGGAGGAGUCCGGAUCCUCGGAGUCACGGGUCGCGCAGAGUGCGGGGCUAGCAUUUGGCUCGAUCGCUUUUGGGAUCGCAGCCCCCAAGGUGACGUCCAACCGCUCAUCCUCGAUUGGCGCAAUAGGUUCCGAUUUAGGAGUCGGAACCAAUGCGUGUGCGGCCUCCAGGACACUGUCCGGGGGCAGAGCUAGAUCAUGCCCCUCGAGAUAGUGCGGCGUGCUUGGCCAUGGCUCGAGCCCGUCGAAGAUCAAGUCUCCCCGAAUGUCAGUCGUGUAGUUUAAGCUUCCAAACCUGACUUGAUGGCCAGGGCGUAGCUUUUGAUCUGCUCCAGGUGGCCGAGCGAAUUGGCCCGCAGAGCGAAGCCGCCGAAGACGAAGAUCUGUCCGGGGAGAGAAGUCUCACCCUGGACCGCAUCGUUCUUGAUGAUCAAAGGAGCCAUCGGGCCUAAAGGCGACGACACAGAGGAACUCUCAAUGAAAGCAUCAAUGUCGGUGUCAAAACCGGUGGAUCUCGGGUAGGGGGUCCCAAACUGUGCGUCUAUGCCGGAUGGUAACAGGAGGCAGGGAACACGAUGUUUUACCCAGGUUCGGGCCCUCUCGAUGGAGGUAAAACCCUACGUCCUGCUUGAUUAAUAUUGAUGAUAUGGGUAGUACAAGAGUAGAACUACCACGAGAUCAAGGAGGCUAAACCCUAGAAGCUAGCCUAUGGUAUGAUUGUUGUAUAUGGAGUUGAUUGCCAACGGACUACAACCCUCCGGUUUAUAUAGACACCAGAUAGGGUUAGGGUUACACAGAGUCGGUUACAAUGGUAGGAGAUCUUGAAUAUCCGCAUUGCCAAGCUUGCCUUUCACGCCAAGGAAAGUCCCAUCCGGACACGGGACGAAGUCUUCAAUCUUGUAUCUUCAUAGUCCAGGAGUCUGGCUGAAGGUAUAGUCCGGCUACCCGAACACCCCCUAAUCCAGGACUCCCUCAACCAGCGACCACCAGGAUUGUUGCAACCUCUCCAAAUUCCGCAAUGGAAAUGGGAGGAAAUCCACAUGGACUUUAUCACCGGACUGCCCAAGACAAGAAAUCGAGAGGAAAUCAUAUGGGUCAUAGUUGACCGACUCACUAAAUCUGCCCAUUUUAUCCCUUUAGCCCCGGGUUGCUCCAGAGAAAAAUUGGCUGAGCUAUAUAUCCACAGGAUAGUAGCUCUACAUGGAACACCUUCUAGAAUAGUAUCAGAUCGUGGAUCUAUGUUUACAUCCAAGUUCUGGGAAAAAUUACAAGAAGCAUUAGGAACAAAAUUGGAUUUUAGUAUUGCUUACCACCCCCAGACUAGCGGUCAAGUCGAGAGGGUGAACCAAAUCAUAGAAGACAUGCUAAGGGCUUGUGUGCUAGAUUUUGGUGACUCAUGGAGCAAGCACUUACCCUUAGCAGAGUUCGCGUAUAACAAUAGCUACCAAGCUAGUAUUGGUAUGUCCCCAUUUGAAGCCUUAUACGGUCGAAGAUGCCGAACCCCAAUAUGUUUGGUGGAAACCGGAGAAAAGAAACUCUUAGCACCCGACUUGGUCCAAGAAACCGAGGAAAAAGUCCGUAUAAUUAGAGAGCGGCUCAAGACAGCACAAAGCCGGCAAAAGAGCUAUGCGAACAGGAGUCGACCCGAUAUACAAUACCAACCCGGAGACUUUGUUUAUUUAAAAGUCUCACCAAUUAUAGGUGUCAAGCGCUUUGGAGUACAAGGAAAACUAAGUCCGCAAUAUAUUGGUCCCUAUCGGAUCUUAAAAAGAAGAGGGACAGUGGCAUACAAAUUAGAAUUGCCAGCGCACCUACAAGGGGUUCAUGAUGUAUUUCAUGUUUCCCAAUUACGCAAGAGUGUAAAGCCACCAUUUGAGAGAGUCUUAGAGGAAGAACUAACCCUACGAAAGGACCUAAUGUAUGAGGAGCAUCCUAGUCGUAUUUUGGACACCGAGGAAAAGAAACUCAGGAGUAAAACAAUUAAAUAUUGCAAGGUGCAAUGGGGAAAUCAUCCGAUGCGAGAAGCGACUUGGGAAAAAGAAGAUGACCUCCGAGAAAAAUAUCCUUACCUUUUCGAGGUGCGACUCAAAAAAUUUCGAGGACGAAAUUUUCUCUAAGGGGGAAAGGAUGUAAAAACCGUAAAUAUAUAUAUAUAUAUAUAUAUAUAUAUAGAUAUAUAUAUAUAUAUAUAUAAAUUAGAUAACGAUAAUUUCAACGAUGUUGCCAAAACAUUAAUUAAAAUAAUAGAAACAACUACAUUUAUUAUUACAGCAAAUAGCAUUUAGUCAUGCAAAACUAAUUCUUCUCCAAACCUCCAUAUAUUUUAUAGACCCUUGUCUCAUUUCUUUCACAUAAAGUAAAUGCCAACUAAUGGCCAGCCAAGCAAAUUACACCUGUCCAUAGUACAUCCCACAAGAGACACAAGUGGAGGUAUGCAUGCAAGACUAACCACGCAUGCAUGCCAGAUGUAAUGUGUCUUCAAACCCGACAUAGCUAUUCACCCCACUAUAAAUAGGAGACAUCCCUUUCACUGGACCAUUCUACCUCACACACACAUACGCUGGAGUACCCCCACCACUUGCCUUUUCACCUUCUGCCACACUGCCGUCCUUCACUGCGGUGAAGAUCUUUGGGUUACAUGUGCCACCAGGUACUAAUCAAGUACCUUGUUGUGUUAGCCCUUCUUACUUGAUUUCUUAUCUAUCUCCACCUCGGUUUGAAUCAGUCCAUGAGCAUCUAUUCACCUUGAUCUCUUUACCUUACUGUAAAAAGAACAAAAUGUUUGCGUAAACACCCAAGUUAGCCAAAACUAAUUAGAUCAAUUGCAAAAGCUUGUAAAAGUUUAU
RNAcentral lists this long non-coding RNA (11152 nucleotides) under Triticum aestivum (bread wheat). RNAcentral describes it as "long non-coding RNA (TAES_LNC009944)". Lineage: Eukaryota; Viridiplantae; Streptophyta; Magnoliopsida; Poales; Poaceae. The record is from RNAcentral.